RNAcentral lists this ribosomal RNA (345 nucleotides) under uncultured bacterium. RNAcentral describes it as "partial 16S ribosomal RNA". It matches the Rfam family "Bacterial small subunit ribosomal RNA", at positions 338 to 700 of the family's 1533-position model. The record is from RNAcentral.
CCUACGGGUGGCAGCAGUGGGGAAUAGUGCACAAGGGGGGAAACCCUGAUGCAGCGACGCCGCGUGAGUGAAGAAGUAUUUCGGUAUGUAAAGCUCUAUCAGCAGGGAAGAAAAUGACGGUACCUGAGUAAGAAGCCCCGGCUAACGACGGGCCAGCAGCCGCGGUAAUACGUAGGGGGCAAGCGUUAUCCGGAUUUACCGGGUGUCAAGGGAGCGGAGACGGUGAUGCAAGUCAGAAGUGAAAGCCCGGGGCUCAACUCCGGGACUGCUUUUGAACCUGUGUGACUGGAGUGCAGGAGAGGUAAGCGGAAUUCCUGGUGUAGCGGUGCAUUGCGUAGAUAUCAG